GGCGGUGUGGUGAAAUUGGUAUACACGACGGAUUCAAAAUCCGUUGCCUUCGGGCGUGGCGGUUCAAGUCCGCCCACCGCUACCA
Molecule: transfer RNA, 85 nt
Filed under: Vibrio sp.
Lineage: Bacteria; Pseudomonadati; Pseudomonadota; Gammaproteobacteria; Vibrionales; Vibrionaceae
Also listed under: 17 other names
Description: tRNA-Leu
Rfam family: tRNA
About the family: Transfer RNA (tRNA) molecules are approximately 80 nucleotides in length. Their secondary structure includes four short double-helical elements and three loops (D, anti-codon, and T loops).
Source: RNAcentral